This 858-nucleotide ribosomal RNA is filed under the name Helvella guttata. Its description in RNAcentral is "Helvella sp. QZ-2017b partial large subunit ribosomal RNA". It matches the Rfam family "Eukaryotic large subunit ribosomal RNA", at positions 74 to 943 of the family's 3401-position model. The record is from RNAcentral. Lineage: Eukaryota; Fungi; Ascomycota; Pezizomycetes; Pezizales; Helvellaceae.
AUUGCCCCAGUAACGGCGAGUGAAGCGGCAGCAGCUCAAAUUUGAAAUCUGGGGUCCCCGACCUCCGAGUUGUAAUUUGGAGAGGCAUCUUCGGGGGGGAGCGCCGGCCCAUGUUCCUUGGGACAGGACGUCACAGAGGGUGAGAAUCCCGUGCCUGGCCGGCUGCCUCCUCCCGGGUGAAGGGCCUUCGACGAGUCGAGUUGUUUGGGAAUGCAGCUCCAAGUGGGUGGUAAAUUUCAUCUAAAGCUAAAUACCGGCGGGAGACCGAUAGCGCACAAGUAGAGUGAUCGAAAGAUGAAAAGCACUUUGAAAAUAGAGUCAAAAAGUACGUGAAAUUGUUGAAAGGGAAGCGCUUGAGACCAGACUCAGGCCCGGGCAAACAUCGCGCCCCUCGGGGCCGUGCAAUUGCCUGGGCCUGGGCCAGCAUCAGUUGGCGUGGCGGGACAAAGGCGCGGGGAAUGUGGCUCCCCUCGAGGAGUGUUAUCAGGCCCGCGCUCAAUGCCGCCGACGUCGACUGAGGACCGCGCCUCGGCUAGGAUGCUGGCUUAAUGGCCUUCAGCGACCCGUCUUGAAACACGGACCAAGGAGUCUAACAUCUAUGCGAGUGUUUGGGCGACAAACCCUUGCGCGGAAUGAAAGUGAGCGGAGGUGGGAACCCCCCAGCGGGGCGCACCAUCGACCGAUCCUGAUGUCUUCGGAUGGAUUUGAGUAGGAGCAUAGCUGUUGGGACCCGAAAGAUGGUGAACUAUGCCUGAAUAGGGUGAAGCCAGAGGAAACUCUGGUGGAGGCUCGCAGCGGUUCUGACGUGCAAAUCGAUCGUCAAAUUUGGGUAUAGGGGCGAAAGACUAAUCGAACCAU